RNAcentral lists this unclassified non-coding RNA (164 nucleotides) under soil metagenome. RNAcentral describes it as "partial internal transcribed spacer 1". The record is from RNAcentral.
CCGAGUUUACAACUCCCAAACCCAUGUGAACAUACCUACUGUUGCCUUCGGCGGGAUUAGCCCGGCUCCUCGUGUUAACCCGGGAUCAGGCGCCCGCCCAGAGGAACCCUUAAACUCUUGUUUUAUAUUUGUAAUCUUCUGAGUAGUUUUAAACAAAUAAAUAA